AACGAACGCUGGCGGCAUGCCUAACACAUGCCAGUCGAACGAGACCUUCGAGUCUAGUGGCGCACGGGUGCGUAACGCGUGGGAACCUGCCCUUAGGUUCGGAAUAACUCCCCGAAAGGGGUGCUAAUACCGGAUAAUGUCUUCGGACCAAAGAUUUAUCGCCUUUGGAUGGGCCCGCGUUGGAUUAGCUAGUUGGUAGGGUAAAAGCCUACCAAGGCGACGAUCCAUAGCUGGUCUGAGAGGAUGAUCAGCCACACUGGGACUGAGACACGGCCCAGACUCCUACGGGAGGCAGCAGUGGGGAUAUUGGACAAUGGGCGAAAGCCUGAUCCAGCAAUGCCGCGUGAGUGAUGAAGGCCUUAGGGUUGUAAAGCUCUUUUACCCGGGAUGAUAAUGACAGUACCGGGAGAAUAAGCUCCGGCUAACUCCGUG
This 432-nucleotide ribosomal RNA is filed under the name uncultured bacterium. Its description in RNAcentral is "partial 16S ribosomal RNA". It matches the Rfam family "Bacterial small subunit ribosomal RNA", at positions 29 to 507 of the family's 1533-position model. The record is from RNAcentral.